UACGUAGGGGGCCAGCGUUGCUCGGAAUUACUGGGCGUAAAGGGUCCGUAGGCGGUGUAGCAAGUCGAUAGUGAAAUCUCUGGGCUUAACCCAGAGGCUGCUUUCAAAACUGCCGUGCUCGAGUGCGAGAGAGGCCAGUGGAAUUGCAGGUGUAGCGGUGAAAUGCGUAGAUAUCUGCAGGAACACCCGUGGCGAAGGCGGCUGGCUGGAUCGCAACUGACACUGAGGAACGAAAGCUAGGGGAGCAAACAGG
Molecule: ribosomal RNA, 253 nt
Filed under: uncultured bacterium
Lineage: Bacteria
Description: partial 16S ribosomal RNA
Rfam family: Bacterial small subunit ribosomal RNA
Source: RNAcentral